UACCAGACUCCUACGGGAGGCAGCAGUGGGGAAUAUUGCACAAUGGGGGGAACCCUGAUGCAGCGACGCCGCGUGAGUGAAGAAGUAUUUCGGUAUGUAAAGCUCUCUCAGCAGGGAAGAAAAUGACGGUACCUGGUUAAGAAGCCCCGGCUAACUACGUGCCAGCAGCCGCGGUAAUACGUAGGGGGCGAGCGUUAUCCGGAUUUACUGGGUGUAAAGGGAGCGUAGACGGCUGGUCAAGUCUGAUGUGAAAAUCCGGGGCCCAACCCCGGAACUGCAUUGGAAACUGUUUAUCUAGAGUGUCGGAGAGGCAAGUGGAAUUCCUAGUGUAGCGGUGAAAUGCGUAGAUAUUAGGAGGAACACCAGUGGCGAAGGCGGCUUGCUGGACGAUGACUGACGUUGAGGCUCGAAAGCGUGGGGAGCAAACAGGAUUAGAUACCCCAGUA
RNAcentral lists this ribosomal RNA (446 nucleotides) under uncultured bacterium. RNAcentral's name for it is "bacterial SSU rRNA". It matches the Rfam family "Bacterial small subunit ribosomal RNA", at positions 329 to 792 of the family's 1533-position model. The record is from RNAcentral.